GUGCUUGAUUUGGCAGCACAUAUACUAAAAUUGGAACAAUACAGAGAAAAUUAGCAUGGCCCCUGCACAAGAAUGACAUGCAAAUUCAUGAAGCAUUCCAUGUAAUC
Molecule: small nuclear RNA, 107 nt
Filed under: Dasypus novemcinctus (nine-banded armadillo)
Lineage: Eukaryota; Metazoa; Chordata; Mammalia; Cingulata; Dasypodidae
Source: RNAcentral